GUGGGGAAUUUUGGACAAUGGGCGCAAGCCUGAUCCAGCAAUGCCGCGUGCAGGAAGAAGGCCUUCGGGUUGUAAACUGCUUUUGUACGGAACGAAACGGUCCUGGUUAAUACCUGGGGCUAAUGACGGUACCGUAAGAAUAAGCACCGGCUAACUACGUGCCAGCAGCCGCGGUAAUACGUAGGGUGCGAGCGUAAAUCGGAAUUACUGGGCGUAAAGCGUGCGCAGGCGGUGCUGUAAGACAGGCGUGAAAUCCCCGGGCUCAACCUGGGAAUUGCGCUUGUGACUGCAGUGCUGGAGUACGGCAGAGGGGGAUGGAAUUCCGCGUGUAGCAGUGAAAUGCGUAGAUAUGCGGAGGAACACCGAUGGCGAAGGCAGUCCCCUGGGCCUGUACUGACGCUCAUGCACGAAAGCGUGGGGAGCAAACAGGAUUAGAUACCCGUGUAGUCC
This 450-nucleotide ribosomal RNA is filed under the name uncultured bacterium. Its description in RNAcentral is "partial 16S ribosomal RNA". It matches the Rfam family "Bacterial small subunit ribosomal RNA", at positions 354 to 796 of the family's 1533-position model. The record is from RNAcentral.